Molecule: transfer RNA, 70 nt
Filed under: uncultured Mobiluncus sp.
Lineage: Bacteria; Bacillati; Actinomycetota; Actinomycetes; Actinomycetales; Actinomycetaceae
Rfam family: tRNA
About the family: Transfer RNA (tRNA) molecules are approximately 80 nucleotides in length. Their secondary structure includes four short double-helical elements and three loops (D, anti-codon, and T loops).
Source: RNAcentral
CGGAUGUGGCUCAGUUGGUAGAGCAUAACCUUGCCAAGGUUAGGGUCGCGGGUUCGAGUCCCGUCAUCCG